Molecule: ribosomal RNA, 569 nt
Filed under: uncultured Actinomycetes bacterium
Lineage: Bacteria; Bacillati; Actinomycetota; Actinomycetes
Description: bacterial SSU rRNA
Rfam family: Bacterial small subunit ribosomal RNA
Source: RNAcentral
CCUACGGGAGGCAGCAGUGGGGAAUAUUGCGCAAUGGGCGAAAGCCUGACGCAGCAACGCCGCGUGCGGGAUGAAGGCCUUCGGGUUGUAAACCGCUUUCAGCAGGGAAGAAGCCGCAAGGUGACGGUACCUGCAGAAGAAGCACCGGCUAACUACGUGCCAGCAGCCGCGGUAAUACGUAGGGUGCAAGCGUUGUCCGGAUUUAUUGGGCGUAAAGAGCUCGUAGGCGGUCUGUUACGUCGGAUGUGAAAACCCGGAGCUUAACUCCGGGCCUGCAUUCGAUACGGGCAGACUUGAGUGUGGUAGGGGAGACUGGAAUUCCUGGUGUAGCGGUGAAAUGCGCAGAUAUCAGGAGGAACACCAAUGGCGAAGGCAGGUCUCUGGGCCAAUACUGACACUGAGGAGCGAAAGUCUGGGGAGCGAACAGGAUUAGAUACCCUGGUAGUCCGCACCGUAAACGGUGGGCACUAGUUGUGGGAACCUUCCACGGUUUCCGCGACGCAGCUAACGCAUUAAGUGCCCCGCCUGGGGAGUACGAUCGCAGGAUUAAAACUCAAAGGAAUUGACGG